RNAcentral lists this ribosomal RNA (375 nucleotides) under uncultured organism. Its description in RNAcentral is "partial 16S ribosomal RNA". It matches the Rfam family "Bacterial small subunit ribosomal RNA", at positions 527 to 897 of the family's 1533-position model. The record is from RNAcentral.
GUAGGUGGCAAGCGUUGUCCGGAAUUAUUGGGGCGUAAAGCGCGCGCAGGCGGUUCUUUAAGUCUGAUGUGAAAGCCCACGGGCUCAACCGUGGAGGGUCAUUGGAAACUGGAGAACUUGAGUACAGAAGAGGAAAGCGGAAUUCCACGUGUAGCGGUGAAAUGCGUAGAGAUGUGGAGGAACACCUGUGGCGAAGGCGGCUUUCUGGUCUGUAACUGACGCUGAGGCGCGAAAGCGUGGGGAGCAAACAGGAUUAGAUACCCUGGUAGUCCACGCCGUAAACGAUGAGUGCUAAGUGUUAGGGGGUUUCCGCCCCUUAGUGCUGCAGCUAACGCAUUAAGCACUCCGCCUGGGGAGUACGGCCGCAAAGGCUGA